RNAcentral lists this ribosomal RNA (1031 nucleotides) under Pseudomonas fluorescens. RNAcentral's name for it is "bacterial SSU rRNA". It matches the Rfam family "Bacterial small subunit ribosomal RNA", at positions 8 to 1034 of the family's 1533-position model. Lineage: Bacteria; Pseudomonadati; Pseudomonadota; Gammaproteobacteria; Pseudomonadales; Pseudomonadaceae. The record is from RNAcentral.
AGAGUUUGAUCAUGGCUCAGAUUGAACGCUGGCGGCAGGCCUAACACAUGCAAGUCGAGCGGUAGAGAGAAGCUUGCUUCUCUUGAGAGCGGCGGACGGGUGAGUAAUGCCUAGGAAUCUGCCUGGUAGUGGGGGAUAACGUUCGGAAACGGACGCUAAUACCGCAUACGUCCUACGGGAGAAAGCAGGGGACCUUCGGGCCUUGCGCUAUCAGAUGAGCCUAGGUCGGAUUAGCUAGUUGGUGGGGUAAUGGCUCACCAAGGCGACGAUCCGUAACUGGUCUGAGAGGAUGAUCAGUCACACUGGAACUGAGACACGGUCCAGACUCCUACGGGAGGCAGCAGUGGGGAAUAUUGGACAAUGGGCGAAAGCCUGAUCCAGCCAUGCCGCGUGUGUGAAGAAGGUCUUCGGAUUGUAAAGCACUUUAAGUUGGGAGGAAGGGUUGUAGAUUAAUACUCUGCAAUUUUGACGUUACCGACAGAAUAAGCACCGGCUAACUCUGUGCCAGCAGCCGCGGUAAUACAGAGGGUGCAAGCGUUAAUCGGAAUUACUGGGCGUAAAGCGCGCGUAGGUGGUUUGUUAAGUUGGAUGUGAAAUCCCCGGGCUCAACCUGGGAACUGCAUUCAAAACUGACUGACUAGAGUAUGGUAGAGGGUGGUGGAAUUUCCUGUGUAGCGGUGAAAUGCGUAGAUAUAGGAAGGAACACCAGUGGCGAAGGCGACCACCUGGACUAAUACUGACACUGAGGUGCGAAAGCGUGGGGAGCAAACAGGAUUAGAUACCCUGGUAGUCCACGCCGUAAACGAUGUCAACUAGCCGUUGGAAGCCUUGAGCUUUUAGUGGCGCAGCUAACGCAUUAAGUUGACCGCCUGGGGAGUACGGCCGCAAGGUUAAAACUCAAAUGAAUUGACGGGGGCCCGCACAAGCGGUGGAGCAUGUGGUUUAAUUCGAAGCAACGCGAAGAACCUUACCAGGCCUUGACAUCCAAUGAACUUUCCAGAGAUGGAUUGGUGCCUUCGGGAACAUUGAGA